GACGAACGCUGGCGGCGUGCCUAACACAUGCAAGUCGAACGGAGAAUUAGCAAUAAUUCUUAGUGGCGAACGGGUGAGUAACGCGUAGACAACCUACCCUUAAGAUGGGGACAACAGAUCGAAAGGCCUGCUAAUACCGAAUAUUGUAAAAGAAACGCAUGUUUCUUUUACUAAAGAUGGCCUCUAUAUAUAAGCUAUUGCUAAAGGAUGGGUCUGCGUCUGAUUAGCUAGUUGGUAAGAUAAAAGCUCACCAAGGCAAUGAUCAGUAGCCGGGCUGAGAGGAUAGACGGCCACACUGGGACUGAGACACGGCCCAGACUCCUACGGGAGGCAGCAGUGGGGAAUCUUCCGCAAUGGACGAAAGUCUGACGGAGCAACGCCGCGUGAGUGAAGAAGGUUUUCGGAUCGUAAAGCUCUGUUGUUAAGGACGAAUGUAUAGAUUGUAAAUAAUGAUUUAUAAUGACGGUACUUAACGAGAAAGCCACGGCUAACUACGUGCCAGCCGCCGCAGUAA
RNAcentral lists this ribosomal RNA (514 nucleotides) under uncultured bacterium. Its description in RNAcentral is "partial 16S ribosomal RNA". It matches the Rfam family "Bacterial small subunit ribosomal RNA", at positions 28 to 523 of the family's 1533-position model. The record is from RNAcentral.